Molecule: transfer RNA, 56 nt
Filed under: Dermanyssus gallinae
Lineage: Eukaryota; Metazoa; Arthropoda; Arachnida; Mesostigmata; Dermanyssidae
Description: tRNA-Val
Source: RNAcentral
AAGAGUAUUAUUAUUAUAUUUACAAUAUAAAAAUACAAAUUUUUUUGUUAUUCUUA